RNAcentral lists this ribosomal RNA (226 nucleotides) under uncultured bacterium. RNAcentral's name for it is "partial 16S ribosomal RNA". It matches the Rfam family "Bacterial small subunit ribosomal RNA", at positions 538 to 763 of the family's 1533-position model. The record is from RNAcentral.
GCGUUGCUCGGAAUGACUGGGCGUAAAGGGCGCGUAGGCGGUUCGUACAGUCAGACGUGAAAUUCCCGGGCUCAACCUGGGGACUGCGUUUGAUACGUGCGGGCUUGAGUUCGGAAGAGGGUCGUGGAAUUCCCAGUGUAGAGGUGAAAUUCGUAGAUAUUGGGAAGAACACCGGUGGCGAAGGCGGCGACCUGGUCCGAUACUGACGCUGAGGCGCGAAAGCGUG